UCGGGAAUUUUGGGCAAUGGGGGAAACCCUGACCCAGCAACGCCGCGUGAGGGAUGAAGGCCUUCGGGUCGUAAACCUCUGUCGGGAGGGAAGAAUGGUCGUUGGUCCAAUAGGCCUUCGGCUUGACGGUACCUCCAAAGGAAGCACCGGCUAACUCCGUGCCAGCAGCCGCGGUAAUACGGAGGGUGCAAGCGUUGUUCGGAAUUACUGGGCGUAAAGCGCGUGUAGGCGGCUUGGCAAGUCGGAUGUGAAAGCCCGAGGCCCAACCUCGGAACUGCAUUCGAAACUGCCAGGCUAGAGUCCCGGAGAGGGUGGUGGAAUUCCCAGUGUAGAGGUGAAAUUCGUAGAUAUUGGGAGGAACACCAGUGGCGAAGGCGGCCACCUGGACGGUGACUGACGCUGAGACGCGAAAGCGUGGGGAGCAAACAGGAUUAGAUACCCCCGUAGUCC
Molecule: ribosomal RNA, 450 nt
Filed under: uncultured prokaryote
Description: bacterial SSU rRNA
Rfam family: Bacterial small subunit ribosomal RNA
Source: RNAcentral